UACGAAGGGGGCUAGCGUUGCUCGGAAUUACUGGGCGUAAAGGGCGCGUAGGCGGACAGUUUAGUCAGAGGUGAAAGCCCAGGGCUCAACCUUGGAAUUGCCUUUGAUACUGGCUGUCUUGAGUGUGAGAGAGGUGUGUGGAACUCCGAGUGUAGAGGUGAAAUUCGUAGAUAUUCGGAAGAACACCAGUGGCGAAGGCGACACACUGGCUCACUACUGACGCUGAGGCACGAAAGCCAGGGGAGCGAACGGG
Molecule: ribosomal RNA, 253 nt
Filed under: uncultured bacterium
Lineage: Bacteria
Description: partial 16S ribosomal RNA
Rfam family: Bacterial small subunit ribosomal RNA
Source: RNAcentral